UGGUUACUCAAUAAAACAAAUUAUAGUGUC
RNAcentral lists this non-coding RNA (30 nucleotides) under Mus musculus (house mouse). Lineage: Eukaryota; Metazoa; Chordata; Mammalia; Rodentia; Muridae. The record is from RNAcentral.